RNAcentral lists this ribosomal RNA (508 nucleotides) under uncultured bacterium. RNAcentral's name for it is "bacterial SSU rRNA". It matches the Rfam family "Bacterial small subunit ribosomal RNA", at positions 1 to 525 of the family's 1533-position model. The record is from RNAcentral.
UAGAGUUUGAUCAUGGCUCAGGACGAACGUUGGCGGCGUGCUUAACACAUGCAAGUCGAACGAGGUCCACCGCGUAGCAAUACAAGGGAAGACCUAGUGGCGAACGGGUGCGUAACACGUGAGGAACUUGUCCCGGUCUCUGGGAUAACAGUUGGAAACGACUGCUAAUACCGGAUGACGUCGGAAUCUCGCAUGGGAUACUGACGAAAGGGUUACUGGAUCGGGAGAGCCUCGCGGCCUAUCAGCUUGUUGGUGAGGUAACGGCUCACCAAGGCAUCGACGGGUAGCUGGUCUGAGAGGAUGAUCAGCCACACUGGGACUGAGACACGGCCCAGACUCCUACGGGAGGCAGCAGUGGGGAAUCUUGCGCAAUGGGCGAAAGCCUGACGCAGCAACGCCGCGUGCGGGAAGAAGGCCCUCGGGUUGUAAACCGCUUUCAGAAGGAACGAAAAUGACGGUACUUUCAGAAGAAGGUGCGGCCAACUACGUGCCAGCAGCCGCGGUAAUA